GCACUGCUGAGGAGUCCCACAAUAGAACGAAACAGACUUCCAGUGC
This is a non-coding RNA of Schistosoma mansoni, 46 nucleotides long. The record is from Rfam. NCBI's taxonomy places the organism in Eukaryota, Metazoa, Platyhelminthes, Trematoda, Strigeidida, Schistosomatidae.